UCGCUAUCUUAACGGAAUUCCUGUGCAGUACGAGAGGAACCACAGGUACGGACCACUGGCUCAAUACUAGUUCGAACGGACUAUGGUAUGACGCUACGUCCGCUGGAUUAUGCCUGAACGCCUCUAAGGUCGUAUCCAAUCCGAGCUGAUAGCGCUUCUUAUACCCAUUAGGUGGUCGUAAGCUAGCGGGCCUAACAACCCUCCGAGAACCGUCCGUGCUGUCCAUUGGCACACUGGCGUCUCAUCCCCGCUUACUACUAGGCCGCAAAGGGCGGGUUCGCGCUGCACGUGUUAGUACCAUACAUGUUGGGAACACCGGUGGACGAGCUUGCCGACUGUGGAUAUCACUAGUUUCGACACCUACGACCGCCCGCAAACGACGGGACUACAGGCUGGGAGCUUCAAGUUGUAGAGAUGCGUUCGCAUCGAUCCUCUCAGGCGACCCAUGCUUGGUGGUUA
This 459-nucleotide ribosomal RNA is filed under the name Anopheles funestus (African malaria mosquito). RNAcentral's name for it is "eukaryotic large subunit ribosomal RNA". It matches the Rfam family "Eukaryotic large subunit ribosomal RNA", at positions 3004 to 3401 of the family's 3401-position model. Lineage: Eukaryota; Metazoa; Arthropoda; Insecta; Diptera; Culicidae. The record is from RNAcentral.